RNAcentral lists this transfer-messenger RNA (218 nucleotides) under Alcanivorax sp. RNAcentral's name for it is "partial transfer-messenger RNA". It matches the Rfam family "transfer-messenger RNA", at positions 1 to 227 of the family's 374-position model. Rfam says of the family: Bacterial tmRNA, also known as 10Sa RNA or SsrA, is named for its dual tRNA and mRNA-like properties. Its role is to liberate the mRNA from a stalled ribosome. To accomplish this part of the tmRNA is used as a reading frame that ends in a translation stop signal. Lineage: Bacteria; Pseudomonadati; Pseudomonadota; Gammaproteobacteria; Oceanospirillales; Alcanivoracaceae. The record is from RNAcentral.
GGGGCCGACCUGGAUUCGACGCCGGUACUGAAUUCUGUGGUGCAUGCCGAGAAGGUCACGAGUCUCGUAAAACAUUUGUGGCACACUAAAGUAAUCGCAAACGACGAUUCUUACGCACUAGCAGCUUAAACCCUGCUUAUCGCCAAUCGACCCUGCCUGUGGGGAAGAGCGGCGAGCAUCGCAACACAGGCUCGCAGCAAAGUCCGCCCCGGAUGGCG